RNAcentral lists this ribosomal RNA (506 nucleotides) under Clostridioides difficile. Its description in RNAcentral is "bacterial LSU rRNA". It matches the Rfam family "Bacterial large subunit ribosomal RNA", at positions 2417 to 2925 of the family's 2925-position model. The record is from RNAcentral. Lineage: Bacteria; Bacillati; Bacillota; Clostridia; Peptostreptococcales; Peptostreptococcaceae.
GAUCCGGUGGGUCUGCGUGGAAGGGCCAUCGCUCAACGGAUAAAAGCUACCCUGGGGAUAACAGGCGUAUCUCCCCCAAGAGUCCACAUCGACGGGGAGGUUUGGCACCUCGAUGUCGGCUCAUCACAUCCUGGGGCUGUAGUAGGUCCCAAGGGUUGGGCUGUUCGCCCAUUAAAGUGGUACGCGAGCUGGGUUCAGAACGUCGUGAGACAGUUCGGUCCCUAUCCGUCGCAGGCGUAGGAAAUUUGAGAAGACCUGUCCUUAGUACGAGAGGACCGGGAUGGACGUACCUCUGGUGUACCAGUUGUCCUGCCAAGGGCAUGGCUGGGUAGCUAUGUACGGAAUGGAUAAGCGCUGAAAGCAUCUAAGCGCGAAGCCAACUUCAAGAUAAGAUUUCCCACCGCAAGGGUAAGACCCCAGAAAGACUAUCUGGUUGAUAGGUCGAAGGUGUAAGUGUAGCAAUGUAUUUAGCUUAUCGAUACUAAUAGGUCGAGGACUUGACCAAU